AAAAAUAUAGUUUUUCAUUGGCCAAUUAUUUUUGCCUACGUAGACACUUUAUCUAAGGCUUAUAUCCUCUUUUUAUCACUUGUUUGAUUUUAAUCCGAAAACAAGACAUUGCUGCUUUAAAAUUGAAAUAAAAUUGAUUAAGUCUCGAGUAGAGGCUUUCAAAUCAAAUUAGGAUUCAUUUUUUGAAAACCGAUGGCUUAAUA
RNAcentral lists this long non-coding RNA (203 nucleotides) under Brassica rapa (field mustard). Its description in RNAcentral is "long non-coding RNA (BRAP_LNC005835)". The record is from RNAcentral. Lineage: Eukaryota; Viridiplantae; Streptophyta; Magnoliopsida; Brassicales; Brassicaceae.